Molecule: ribosomal RNA, 800 nt
Filed under: uncultured bacterium
Lineage: Bacteria
Description: bacterial SSU rRNA
Rfam family: Bacterial small subunit ribosomal RNA
Source: RNAcentral
AGAGGUUGCUUUUGGCUCAGGAUGAACGCUGGCGGCGUGCUUAACACAUGCAAGUCGAGCGAAGCAUUUUGGAUGAAGUUUUCGGAUGGAUUCUGAAAUGACUGAGCGGCGGACGGGUGAGUAACGCGUGGAUAACCUGCCUCAUACAGGGGGAUAACAGUUAGAAAUGACUGCUAAUACCGCAUAAGCGCACAGGACCGCAUGGUCUGGUGUGAAAAACUCCGGUGGUAUGAGAUGGGUCCGCGUUGGAUUAGGCAGUUGGCGGGGUAACGGCCCACCAAACCGACGAUCCAUAGCCGGCCUGAGAGGGCGGACGGCCACAUUGGGACUGAGACACGGCCCAAACUCCUACGGGAGGCAGCAGUGGGGAAUAUUGCACAAUGGGGGAAACCCUGAUGCAGCGACGCCGCGUGAGUGAUGAAGUAUUUCGGUAUGUAAAGCUCUAUCAGCAGGGAAGAAAAUGACGGUACCUGACUAAGAAGCACCGGCUAAAUACGUGCCAGCAGCCGCGGUAAUACGUAUGGUGCAAGCGUUAUCCGGAUUUACUGGGUGUAAAGGGAGCGUAGACGGAGAGGCAAGUCUGAUGUGAAAACCCGGGGCUCAACCCCGGGACUGCAUUGGAAACUGUUUUUCUAGAGUGUCGGAGAGGCAAGUGGAAUUCCUAGUGUAGCGGUGAAAUGCGUAGAUAUUAGGAGGAACACCAGUGGCGAAGGCGGCUUGCUGGACGAUGACUGACGUUGAGGCUCGAAAGCGUGGGGAGCAAACAGGAUUAGAUACCCUGGUAGUCCACGCCGUAAACG